GAUGAACGCUGGCGGCGUGCCUAAUACAUGCAAGUCGAGCGAACAGACGAGGAGCUUGCUCCUCUGACGUUAGCGGCGGACGGGUGAGUAACACGUGGAUAACCUACCUAUAAGACUGGGAUAACUUCGGGAAACCGGCGCUAAUACCGGAUAAUAUAUUGAACCGCAUGGUUCAAUAGUGAAAGACGGUUUUGCUGUCACUUCUAGAUGGAUCCGCGCGGCAUUAGCUAGUUGGUAAGGUAACGGCUUACCAAGGCAACGAUGCGUAGCCGACCUGAGAGGGUGAUCGGCCACACUGGAACUGAGACACGGUCCAGACUACUACGGGAGGCAGCAGUAGGGAAUCUUCCGCAAUGGGCGGAAGCCUGACGGAGCAACGCCGCGUGUGUGAUGAAGGUCUUCGGAUCGUAAAACUCUGUUAUUAGGGAAGAACAAAUGUGUAAGUAACUAUGCACGUCUUGACGGUACCUAAUCAGAAAGCCACGGCUAACUACGUG
Molecule: ribosomal RNA, 497 nt
Filed under: uncultured bacterium
Lineage: Bacteria
Description: partial 16S ribosomal RNA
Rfam family: Bacterial small subunit ribosomal RNA
Source: RNAcentral